UAUCUUUGCGCCCGAAAAAAAAUAUACAUAAUAAUCAUUAAAUUAAUAUUGGAAUG
This is a regulatory RNA element of Capnocytophaga ochracea DSM 7271, 56 nucleotides long. It matches the Rfam family "S15-Flavobacteria ribosomal protein leader". NCBI's taxonomy places the organism in Bacteria, Pseudomonadati, Bacteroidota, Flavobacteriia, Flavobacteriales, Flavobacteriaceae. The record is from Rfam.